GGGAGGAGCCUUUCGUCGCCCUAUAUAACUCAAAGGCGCAAAUUCAUUCUUCCAUUUCUUUCUGACUUCUGCUCGAGAUCAUGGAAAACUUUAAAGGAGCACAUAAAAAGCUCAGAAGAAUUCUGGAUCAUUCUCAAGGUGGUCUUUGCUCACCAAUAUCUCUGCAAAUGAAACUUCACUUUAAAUGCGGAGGAUUUCCAUGACGCCGGCAUGAGUUACAGUUACGCAUCAUGAGGGUCAGAUCUGAAGUGCAGAAAUGAAGAAACUUCAACUGCUUCCAGCUCAGGCAGAUGUGAGGCAGCAGAGGUCCUUUCCUGUUGAAGCUCCAUCGUGCUCUGACUGUGACUCCAGGUGGAGUUUCUCCAGCAUGAGACUGAAGCUGCUGAAGGAAUAAACGACUGCGUUUGCGUUGCCAGGUCAAUGAGCCUAUGUGGCGUUUUCGUCGGUCAGCUGACCGGUUAGGAUGACCGGAUACUCUAACGGGAGAGAGCUGCUCAGCCAACUCUGAAAGAUGACUGGAUGCCUUGGAAAAAUGAAGCCACUUUUUCUGUGUAAUUUCAAUAAAUGUUUUUGAAACUUGG
Oryzias melastigma (Indian medaka) is the source of this 581-nucleotide long non-coding RNA. RefSeq lists it as uncharacterized. Lineage: Eukaryota; Metazoa; Chordata; Actinopteri; Beloniformes; Adrianichthyidae. The transcript has 12 exons. The record is from RefSeq and is a predicted model, not a curated record.